This 374-nucleotide ribosomal RNA is filed under the name uncultured organism. RNAcentral describes it as "partial 16S ribosomal RNA". It matches the Rfam family "Bacterial small subunit ribosomal RNA", at positions 527 to 896 of the family's 1533-position model. The record is from RNAcentral.
GUAGGUGGCAAGCGUUGUCCGGAAUUAUUGGGCGUAAAGCGCGCGCAGGCGGUUCUUUAAGUCUGAUGUGAAAGCCCACGGCUCAACCGUGGAGGGUCAUUGGAAACUGGAGAACUUGAGUACAGAAGAGGAAAGCGGAAUUCCACGUGUAGCGGUGAAACGCGUAGAGAUGUGGAGGAACACCAGUGGCGAAGGCGGCUUUCUGGUCUGUAACUGACGCUGAGGCGCGAAAGCGUGGGGAGCAAACAGGGAUUAGAUACCCUGGUAGUCCACGCCGUAAACGAUGAGUGCUAAGUGUUAGGGGGGUUUCCGCCCCCCUUAGUGCUGCAGCUAACGCAUUAAGCACUCCGCCUGGGAGUACGGCCGCAAGGCUG